Molecule: RNA transcript, 3562 nt
Organism: Zophobas morio
Lineage: Eukaryota; Metazoa; Arthropoda; Insecta; Coleoptera; Tenebrionidae
Gene name: RNA-binding protein 45
Exons: 9
Source: RefSeq, a predicted model, not a curated record
AAAUUACCGUGCACGUUAAACAAGAAAACAAGGCGGAUACAAGAGAGACAAGACAAGUUACUGUUUUGCUAAUUUGUUUUCGUUUUUAGAGAACCAACAAAGCACAGUUCGUUGAGCAAUUUUGCGUAGUGAGUGUUUUAUUUGUUUUGUUAAAAAGGGUUGCAGCAUUUUGUAUUCCUAAGCAAAUUUGACGAAAUGUCUGAUAAAGGUGACAGGAGAACGUCUAUAAGUUCUAACCUCGACGACCCACCAAAUUCAAGACUCUUCAUCAUCGGUAGUAAAAUGUUAUCCGAACAAGAUUUUCGGGAUGCCUUUGAAUCAUUUGGUCACAUAGAGGAAAUAUGGAUGGUCAAGGAUAAACAAACUGGAGAUAAUAAGGGUGUUACCUACAUUAAAUAUUCUCGAACUUUGGAAGCCGCGGAAGCUUUGGAAGCUAUGAAUGGAAAAUGUAUAGGAAAUUUAACUAGGAGCAUCAGAGUAAUGAUAGCGGCAAGCCGUGAUCAAGGUUCAAAAAGGGAGUGGAAUGAAGAAGAAAGAAUUCUAAGACUAUUUGUGAUUGUUCCAAAAAACAUGACGGAUUCUGAAUUACACGACUAUUUUAAAACUUUUGGGACGAUAGACUAUGCUACAAUAAUGAGAGAUAAAGGAACUCGCGAAAGCAAAGGUUUUGCUUACGUGAAAUAUUUCAGGUUUUCUCAUGCUGCUGCUGCUUUUGAAAAGUGUGAUCGAAAAUAUAAGGCUGUAUUUGCUGAACCUCGAAAACCAUAUUUGAAGAAUGAAGAAAAAUUCCAAGUUAAUUUUAAUUCGAUAAACAAAAGUACGUCGUUACCGAUACCUGAUAUAAACAAUCCGACUGGUUGUACGAAGUUAAUUGCAAUAGUUAGUCCACAACUUAAUCAGGAUCAACUGUGGAAAUUAUUUGAUAUCAUACCAGGUUUAGAUUAUUGUCAUCUUACAUUAGAAGGUCAUCCUACGCCAAAUAGAGGAGUUGCUUCAGUUGUUUAUAACAGUGCACAAUCAGCGUCCUAUGCAAAAGAAAAGUUACACGGAUUUGAAUAUCCUCCUGGAAAUAGAAUAAUAGUAAAAACAGAUCUUGAGGCUGUUCAAAAUUUUGAAUCUACAUGUGCAGAGCAAAAACAGACAGACAUAAUACAGAUUACCGAAACAAUAGCCCAUGCUUCCAGUUUGAUUCAAGGUGCUGCUCUGUCUUCAGAUAACGUUUUACAAACCAAGCUGGGCUUAACUUCAGUUUCUAAAGAUGCUGAUGUUAAGAGCAGUAUAAAAUUGCCUGAUUUACAACCCUUGGCCUCUGAAGAAGAAUCAACUGUUUCAAGGUGUUUUAUUGUUUGCACACCCAGUCCGCUACCCAAUGCAGUCUUGAAAAAUGUGUUUUCUCGUUUUGGGAAUUUAAUUGAUGUUUAUAUGUUGAAUAACCGAAACUGUGGUUUUGCAAAGUAUGCAAAUGCAGAAUCAGCAGAGACUGCCAUUAAAACCUUACAUGGAGCAGAAAUUUGUGGAAUUCGAAUGAAAGUAUUAAAAGCUGAGGAGAAGCAGGAUCAUAAUCGAAAACGGCAACGAAUCGACGACAAAUGAUGGAUUUGUAUGAUUGAGGUUUUGGACAACGCCCAGGGGGUGAGACGUCUACACAGCGUUUGCUUUCCAAAGCGAUACCUUCCCACUGGAUUGCACCGAUAUCACCUUCAACGUGUGCAAGCGCUAAAAGCAAGAAGUGGUUAAAUGUGAGGAUUUUUUUUUUGUGGGGACAUUGAAGGAGUUAACGUACGCGACCUCCGUUAAAUCAGUGCAAGAACUAAUUGCACGUGUGAGUGCUGUGACUGGAACAAUUCGUCUAAAUCUAGCUAUGAGUGAGAGGAUCGAGACUUCAAUGGCCAGGCGAAUUCAAAUUCCUCUAUGCGGAUUUCUCAGUAGAAAAGGUGCAACAUCUGAAUGCUCAACAGGUGUAUUUGUAUAUCACCAUAUCGCUGCACUUGCCCUACACACACAUUAAAAAUAAUAAAUGUAUUUCGGACCAAUUAUUCGCGUUCUUGGGACGUACAUCUGAACAAAAGUGAAUCAGCUGAGGUCAGAGCUAUUGUCUGUGAAAAUCCUUUUAAUCCCCAAGUGACCCUAAAAACGGCCAAUGUUGACCAACAACUUCAUGAAAGUUUACGACAAAUUGAUGGGAGUAAAGAACUGCUUUGACUGUCAGGGCCCACCCCGAACCAGAAAGAUCUGCUUCACAGCGUCGAAGAAGAGUUACUUAAUGUCCGAGGACUAUUUAAAUAGCCCAUUGAAGAAAUAGUUUCUAGGUCAGUUAGUUUAUCAUCAAAAAUGAAUCGGAUUUCGCAUUAGGAAGUGCAAUUUUUAAUGUAGAAUAUACAGGGUGACUGCGAAAUAUAUGCAAAUAUUUUAACCACGGCAUGCAUCCCCCACCCUAGUAGAGUCGCAAUAUAGAAAAAACAAAUUAAAAAUCGAAUGGGGCAAAACCCCCAUGAACCACCCUCGAUACGAAGGCACUGAGCCACCUUGUAAACAGAGUUGGAAAAACGUUCGAAUAAAAACGACGUAAACACUUUCAGUUUUAAUUAAAAGUAAAACCGACUUUUUGCUGCUUAUCAUUCGUUCAUUCAUUUAUUCGUUCAUCGUUAAAGGUCAGUGCGAAAGUUUUUUGGUAAUUUUGAUUCUGACGGAUGUUUGGUCCUUGUCACAACGAUUUUGCAUUGUUUAUUGGAACAGAAGUAAGAGCAACUUAGAAUGCUACUACCAUUUUACAAGAAAUGUUGAAAAUGUUGUCCUUGACUAGCAAUACAGGCGUCCAAGGGUUACAAGAGGUUUGUUGAUGGGUAAAAAAACACCGGAGCAGCGGCUGCCACUUUCACUUGUUGAAACGCUUCGAUAAUUUCUGGACACUGUUGAUUUCCACAAACGAACUGUUUCAUCCAACCAAUACACGUUUCUCGAAAACCGUCUCUUGAAAUCGUACUUGUUGACGAGUCUGUGGAGUUCCAUCGCACAAAAAGUGAGUUACACAACGUGGACAAUCAGCGGGCUCCAAACCGUGCACUUUGUCAACAUGGUAUGGUUGUGACCGUGUACUUUUAAUGUAGGAUGCACUACAAGCUGCGAAAAUCCAAUUUCUUCUUUCUGUCCCAUCACGACCACGAUCGUGAGUUUGAGGUUGAAGGUACCAUGAUCUCGGAGGUGCUGUACCACUGAUGCAAAUGUUCGCGCACACCAAUUACCAUAUCGACACACUCUGCAUUGGAAAACUGGACCAUACACCGAUUUCAACGACCGCUCGAUAAUGACUGGCCCUUUUCGUGUUUUUCACGUUGCGAUUAAAAAAGUGCCUGAUAAAGUUAUUUUUUUGGUUCUUAAUCCGAGUCGCCUGCCCAUUCAUUGCAGUAAUUAUGUAGGUCACGAAACAUUACCAGCGGCGUGUAUAACAAUUUACAUUUAAUUUCAAAUAAUUUUUUCUAGACACUCCUACCACUUAGGACCGUGAAUUUUUGCCAGUGACAUAAUCAUAUUGUGAGCUAUUCCCCUUUUUUUUUUGCAUGUA